GAUGAACGCUGGCGGCGUGCCUAACACAUGCAAGUCGAGCGGACGAACGGGGCUUUUGCCUGGAUUCAGCGGCGGACGGGUGAGUGAUGCACACGAGUCUACCUGGUCUUGAGGGAUGACAUCAGUACGCGAGAGCUGAUACCACAUCCGAUAUGAUGGUGAACGUGGUGGUUCUUCGGACAUAACCCUCUCUGCUGAGCCUAGGAGGGAUUUGCUAGUUGGUUGGGUAAGGGCCUACCAAGGCGACGAUCCGUGACUGGACUGAGAGGAUGAUCGGUCACACUGGAACUGAGACACGGUCCAGACUCCUACGGGAGGCAGCAGUGGGGAAUAUUGGGCAAUGGGCGAAAGCCUGACCCAGCCAGGCCGCGUGUGUGAAGAAGGUCUUCGGAUCGUAAAGCACUGUAAGUUGGGAGGAAGGGCAGUAAGAGAAGACGUGGCUGUAUUGACGGUACCAACAGAAUAAGCACCGGCUAACUACGUG
RNAcentral lists this ribosomal RNA (484 nucleotides) under uncultured bacterium. RNAcentral's name for it is "partial 16S ribosomal RNA". It matches the Rfam family "Bacterial small subunit ribosomal RNA", at positions 28 to 507 of the family's 1533-position model. The record is from RNAcentral.